RNAcentral lists this signal recognition particle RNA (96 nucleotides) under Pseudodesulfovibrio senegalensis. RNAcentral's name for it is "Bacterial small signal recognition particle RNA". It matches the Rfam family "Bacterial small signal recognition particle RNA". From Rfam's summary of the family: The signal recognition particle (SRP) is a universally conserved ribonucleoprotein involved in the co-translational targeting of proteins to membranes. Archaeal SRP consists of a 7S RNA and homologues of the eukaryotic SRP19 and SRP54 proteins. Lineage: Bacteria; Pseudomonadati; Thermodesulfobacteriota; Desulfovibrionia; Desulfovibrionales; Desulfovibrionaceae. The record is from Rfam by way of RNAcentral.
GGAGGGAAGCCGGGCGGCGGUAGCGCUGUAAACCCCGUCAGGCCCGAAAGGGAGCAGCGGUAGCGGUUGCUAUCGGGUGUCCGGUUUCCCUCACAG